RNAcentral lists this ribosomal RNA (253 nucleotides) under uncultured bacterium. Its description in RNAcentral is "partial 16S ribosomal RNA". It matches the Rfam family "Bacterial small subunit ribosomal RNA", at positions 524 to 776 of the family's 1533-position model. The record is from RNAcentral.
UACGAAAGGUGCAAGCGUUACUCGGAAUCACUGGGCGUAAAGCGCACGUAGGCGGACUCGCAGGUCAAUUGUGAAAUACCCGGGCUCAACCUGGGAACUGCAGUUGAAACCGCUUGUCUUGAAUACCUGAGAGGGUGGGGGAAUACCUGGUGGAGAAGUGAAAUUCGUAGAUAUCAGGAGGAACACCGGUGGCGAAGGCGGCCCUCUGGACGAGUACUGACACUGAGGCGCGACAGCGUGGGGAUCAAACAGG